GCCACCCGCGCCGCGCCCAGGUAAGCAGGUCCGUGGGUCGCUGGGUCCAUGCGUGGGUCCGUGGCUGGCCGGGGAUGGACCAGCCCCUCCCCGCAGGGGCAUCGCCUGCCCAAGGACGCAGGACCCAGUGAGGGAAGCGCGCGCUGCAGGCACGGGGCUCUCCACCCUCGCCAUGGUUGGCACCAAGCCACACUGUGCACUCGACACACGCAGCGUCCUGGCUGCCACCUGCAGAUUCCAGCUCGUGUCUAUGCAGGGCCAUGGCCGCCAUCACAGGGCCAUAUGCAAGAAACUCUCUGAGCUCUCCUCGCCCAAAACCGCAGCUAUCCUUUUGUGGUUUGGUAUUAUAGGUAACAUGCCCUUCCUUAAAGAAACAGUAUUUCAGGCCUGUAGUCCCAGCUACUCCGGAGGCCGAGGCAGAAGCUGAGGCAGAAGCAGGAGGAUCAUUUGAGCCCAGAAGUUUGAGCCUGGGCAAUGUAGCAAGACCCCCCCCCCCACCUCACUCCCCAAUCAGUUAAAAGAGAGAGAGAGAGAGAGAGAAUUCCAGCAGGAAGAAGUACACAUUUCCACGAAUGGUUUGGGAAUUCAAGCAUCAUAUGGCUGAGGUUUGAACUACAGCUCAUGCCAAUAACAUGUGCACAUGCGCCAGCAUUCCAGCGUCCAACAGAGCAUGCGUGCACCAUUCCAGCAUCCGGCAACAAUGCACCAGCAUUCCAGCGUCCAACAGAGCAUCCGUGUACCAUUCCGGCAUUUGGCAACAAUGCACCAGCAUUCCAGAGUCCAACAGGGCAUGCGUGCACCAUUCCAGCAUCCGGCAACAAUGCACCAGCAUUCCAGCGUCCAACAGAGCGUGCGUGCACCAUUCCAGCAUCCGGCAACAAUGCACCAGCAUUCCAGCGUCCAAAAGAGCAUCCGGCAACAUCCCGGUGUCCAGUGGCACAUGUGCACCUGGACGUUCCAGUGUGGUGAGCUUUCAGGCACGGAGCAAGGCCAAAGGGAUAAAAAGAUGAAGGUGACGCAGUACUCCCCCUUAUAGUGCCUACAGGCCUUAUAGGCCAGACAGAUCUGGAAAUAAAUAAUUCAUAAUAAAAAAUAAUUACAGAAUAAGAGGCAUAAUAACCAGAUAGAAAGUAUUGAAUAAAUCUGUAAGAAAUGAAAAAAAAAAAAAAAAAA
This 1173-nucleotide long non-coding RNA is filed under the name Homo sapiens (human). RNAcentral's name for it is "MCF2L antisense RNA 1 (MCF2L-AS1)". Lineage: Eukaryota; Metazoa; Chordata; Mammalia; Primates; Hominidae. The record is from RNAcentral.